UAAUUUAUCAUGCCCAAGUGUAAUUUUUGUCUUUUACAGUCUGGUGUGUUUGCUUAUAGAUUUAUAGUCACAUUCUUGCUACCACAAAUGAGAGAAACCCCAUGC
This is a long non-coding RNA of Dipodomys spectabilis (banner-tailed kangaroo rat), 105 nucleotides long. RefSeq lists it as uncharacterized. Lineage: Eukaryota; Metazoa; Chordata; Mammalia; Rodentia; Heteromyidae. The transcript has 3 exons. The record is from RefSeq and is a predicted model, not a curated record.